UACGGAGGAUCCGAGCGUUAUCCGGAUUUAUUGGGUUUAAAGGGUGCGCAGGCGGGAGAUUAAGUCGGCGGUGAAAUUUUGCAGCUCAACUGUAAAAGUGCCUUCGAAACUGGUUUCCUUGAGUGUGGAUGAAGUAGGCGGAAUUUGUGGUGUAGCGGUGAAAUGCAUAGAUAUCACGAGGAACUCCGAUUGCGCAGGCAGCUUACUAAACCAUAACUGACGCUCAGGCACGAAGGCGUGGGGAUCAAACAGGAUUAGAUACCCGCGUA
RNAcentral lists this ribosomal RNA (269 nucleotides) under uncultured prokaryote. RNAcentral's name for it is "partial 16S ribosomal RNA". It matches the Rfam family "Bacterial small subunit ribosomal RNA", at positions 524 to 792 of the family's 1533-position model. The record is from RNAcentral.